AGAGACUGCUCCGAACUCCACAGUGACAGAGCUGGUUAGCGCUGCGAGCAGUGGCAUGGGGCUGGUGUCCGUCUGCCCCGUGCRUGUCCCCUGUGUCCCCAGUGGCAGGGGUAGGGGGGAGCUUAGGUGACAAAAACCUAGGUGUUUGUGUAACAGGCGCAGUGACAGCGUCCCUGCCGCUUGGUGCAUUGUAACAGCAUGGGCUGAAGAGGCAGUCUAAUGCACAGAUCAUUCCCGAGGGAUUUAACUCCUGGGGAAGUGGGCAGGGGGCUUGGGCUGGGCCUGUGAAGAGCUGCAGCGAUGCAUGAGCUGUCACAGCUCUYGGCAUGUGCUAACGUUGAGAUUGUCCCCCCAGAUCCAGACCUGCCUCGAACCGCCGGCUGGCGGAAGUUGCCCAGUCCACAGCAAAACUGCUGCCUGAGCUGUCGCAGCACCGGGAUGCACUCGGCUUUCCUGGAGCUGCCACACGCCAUCCCGUCCCUCCUCCAGGAGCAGCGCUGUCGGUGCUGGCUGGGAGCAGACUCAUGCUACGCUUGCUGUGCAGCUGUGGCUACCUGAGAUGAGCCUGCUGACGAGGUGAUGGGAACAGGCAGCACAAGGAUGGUGAGUUCACUCUUGCCUCUGUAAUUCCCCAGCCUC
Molecule: long non-coding RNA, 639 nt
Filed under: Dromaius novaehollandiae (emu)
Lineage: Eukaryota; Metazoa; Chordata; Aves; Casuariiformes; Dromaiidae
Description: lncRNA (ENSDNVG00000011497.1)
Source: RNAcentral